GACGAACGCUGGCGGCGUGCUUAACACAUGCAAGUCGAACGGUGAAGCGCCUUCCUUUUUGGUGGGUGUGGAUGAGUGGCGAACGGGUGAGUAACACGUGAGUAACCUGCCCCCUUCUUCUGGAUAACCGCAUGAAAGUGUGGCUAAUACGGGAUAUUCUGGGUCUGUCGCAUGAUGGGUCUGGGAAAGAUAUUGUUUCGGUGGGGGAUGGGCUCGCGGCCUAUCAGCUUGUUGGUGGGGUGAUGGCCUACCAAGGCGGUGACGGGUAGCCGGCCUGAGAGGGUGGACGGUCACACUGGGACUGAGACACGGCCCAGACUCCGACGGGAGGCAGCAGUGGGGUAUAUGGCACAAUGGGCGCAAGCCUGAUGCAGCGACGCCGCGUGAGGGAUGGAGGCCUUCGGGUUGUGAACCUCUUUCGCCAGUGAAGCAGGCCUGCCUCGUUUGUGGGUGGGUUGACGGUAGCUGGAGAAGAAGCGCCGGCUAACUACGUG
RNAcentral lists this ribosomal RNA (494 nucleotides) under uncultured bacterium. RNAcentral describes it as "partial 16S ribosomal RNA". It matches the Rfam family "Bacterial small subunit ribosomal RNA", at positions 28 to 507 of the family's 1533-position model. The record is from RNAcentral.